UGCCCAGUUGGUCAAGGUCCUAGCUACUAUA
This 31-nucleotide non-coding RNA is filed under the name Homo sapiens (human). The record is from RNAcentral. Lineage: Eukaryota; Metazoa; Chordata; Mammalia; Primates; Hominidae.